UACGUAGGGCGCAAGCGUUUGUCCGGAAUUAUUGGGCGUAAAGAGCUCGUAGGCGGCUUGUCACGUCGAUUGUGAAAGCCCGAGGCUUAACCUCGGGUCUGCAGUCGAUACGGGCUAGCUAGAGUGUGGUAGGGGAGAUCGGAAUUCCUGGUGUAGCGGUGAAAUGCGCAGAUAUCAGGAGGAACACCGGUGGCGAAGGCGGAUCUCUGGAACGGUACUGACGCUGAGACGCGAAAGCGUGGGGAGCGAACAGG
RNAcentral lists this ribosomal RNA (254 nucleotides) under uncultured bacterium. Its description in RNAcentral is "partial 16S ribosomal RNA". It matches the Rfam family "Bacterial small subunit ribosomal RNA", at positions 524 to 776 of the family's 1533-position model. The record is from RNAcentral.